This 1307-nucleotide ribosomal RNA is filed under the name metagenome. RNAcentral's name for it is "SSU rRNA". It matches the Rfam family "Eukaryotic small subunit ribosomal RNA", at positions 483 to 1783 of the family's 1831-position model. The record is from RNAcentral.
AUACCGGGCCUUUUUGGGCUUGGUAAUUGGAAUGAGGGAGAGUUAAACGGACCAUCGAGUACCCAUUGGAGGGCAAGUCUGGUGCCAGCAGCUGCGGUAAUACCAUCUCCAAUAGCGUAUAUUAAAGUUGUUGCAGUUUAAAAGCUCGUAGUUGGACUUGUGUGCGCUGUCCGCGGGUGGCCUGCGCCCAAAAGGGCGUUUCGGUUCGGCCCCGGUGGCGCCUUGAAAUCUGCAGUUGGGGGGACGUUGGCCUUAACUGGUCGGCGACCGCACGCCGGCUGCUCGGUUACUGUGAGAAAAUUAGAGUGUUCAAGGCAGGCAUUGGGUGCAAUUGAAUACAUUAGCAUGGAAUAAUAAAAUAUGGCUCCUGCCGUAUUUUGUUGGUUUUGACUGGUGGGAGUAAUGAUUGAUAGGGACGGUUGGGGGUGCUAGUAUUGAGCGGCCAGAGGUGAAAUUCAUGGAUUCGCUCAAGACUAACUUAUGCGAAAGCAUUCACCAAGGACGUCCUCUUUAAUCAAGAACGAAAGUUGGGGGAUCGAAGACGAUCAGAUACCGUCGUAGUCUCAACCAUAAACUAUGUCGACUUGGGAUCGGCGGUAGUUUUUUCAUUAAGACACUGUCGGGACCACGGGAGAAAUCAAAGUGUCUGGACUCUGGGGGAAGUAUGGUCGCAAGGCUGAAACUUGAAGGAAUUGACGGAAGGGCACCACCAGGAGUGGAGCCUGCGGCUUAAUUUGACCCAACACGGGGAAACUUACCAGGUCCAGAGAUGUAGAGGAUUGACAGAUUGAAGCUCUUUCUUGAUCACUUCGGUGGUGGUGCAUGGCCGUUCUUAGUUGGUGGAGUGAUUUGUCUGGUUAAUUCCGUUAACGAACGAGACCUCAGCCUGCUAGUGUAGUCGGCUGGAUUGCCUUUGGCGAUCCGUGAUUUCGACUUCCUAGAGGGACAAUCGACGCGCAGUCGAUGGAAGUUUGAGGCAAUAACAGGUCUGUGAUGCCCUUAGAUGUUCUGGGCCGCACGCGCGCUACACUGCUGGGCUCAGCGAGUUUUACUUGGCCGAGAGGCCCGGUUAAUCUUGUGAAAUCCCAGCGUGCUUGGGCUCGCCUCCUGCAACUGGAGGCGCCAACGAGGAAUUCCUAGUAGACGCAGGUCAUCAACCUGCAUCGAUUACGUCCCUGCCCUUUGUACACACCGCCCGUCGUUCCAUAAGAGUGAGGCAUCCGGUGAAUUCUCGGGAGAGCCUGGGCGUGGCCAGCAAUGGUCUGCUCGGGUUUGAACUUGCAUAAACUUGGUGCCUAUGAUUAGGG